UUCAUUUGGACUUGCUGCUUGUAUUGUAGGCGGUAUUACCAUGGUGGCUCUAUGGCCUAUUACUUGCAGACCAUACAGCAAA
Molecule: non-coding RNA, 82 nt
Filed under: uncultured Fragilariaceae
Lineage: Eukaryota; Bacillariophyta; Fragilariophyceae; Fragilariales; Fragilariaceae
Source: RNAcentral